This 439-nucleotide ribosomal RNA is filed under the name uncultured bacterium. RNAcentral's name for it is "partial 16S ribosomal RNA". It matches the Rfam family "Bacterial small subunit ribosomal RNA", at positions 339 to 795 of the family's 1533-position model. The record is from RNAcentral.
CUACGGGGUGCACCAGUGAGGAAUAUUGCACAAUGGGGGGAACCCUGAUGCAGCAACGCCGCGUGGAGGAUGACGCAUUUCGGUGUGUAAACUCCUUUUAUAUGUCAAGAAAAUGACGGUAGCAUAUGAAUAAGCACCGGCUAACUCCGUGCCAGCAGCCGCGGUAAUACGGAGGGCGCAAGCGUUACUCGGAAUCACUGGGCGUAAAGGACGCGUAGGCGGGUUGGAAAGUCAGGUGUGAAAGCCUACAGCUUAACUGUAGAACUGCACUUGAAACUUCUAAUCUAGAGUAUGGGAGGGGGAGAUGGAAUUAGUGGUGUAGGGGUAAAAUCCGUAGAUAUCACUAGGAAUACCUAAAGCGAAGGCGAUCUCCUGGAACAUUACUGACGCUAAGGCGUGAAAGCGUGGGGAGCAAACAGGAUUAGAUACCCUCGUAGUC